RNAcentral lists this long non-coding RNA (324 nucleotides) under Brassica rapa (field mustard). RNAcentral's name for it is "long non-coding RNA (BRAP_LNC006971)". Lineage: Eukaryota; Viridiplantae; Streptophyta; Magnoliopsida; Brassicales; Brassicaceae. The record is from RNAcentral.
GCUGAUUUAUUAUGAUUCUUACAAUUAUGAUAUAGGAAAUAUUACAUAGACGAUUCGACAACCGACAAUACUACCUGCCUUAUGAAAACCUACGCCUAACUGCAUCACCUGAGCCGUCCUAUGAAGAUCCACGCCUGGCCAGAUUUACUUGUUGAAGAUCCCUUGCAAGCCUUUCCUCUGUAGUCUGCAUAAUUGUUUAAUAAACCGCUCUCUCCGGGACUUGAAACCUAGAUUUCCUGUAAUCUGCAAUAAAUUGCAUAGUUUUGGAUUUGAACCCCAGACCUGGGUGUAGAAGCCUUUAAACCUUAACCAAUAGGCUACGCU